GGGGAUAUAGUUCAGUUGGCAAGAACGUCUGCCUUGCAAGCAGAAGGUCACCGGUUCAAGUCCGGUUAUCUCCACCA
This 77-nucleotide transfer RNA is filed under the name Clostridium sp. Its description in RNAcentral is "tRNA-Ala". It matches the Rfam family "tRNA". Rfam says of the family: Transfer RNA (tRNA) molecules are approximately 80 nucleotides in length. Their secondary structure includes four short double-helical elements and three loops (D, anti-codon, and T loops). Further hydrogen bonds mediate the characteristic L-shaped molecular structure. tRNAs have two regions of fundamental functional importance: the anti-codon, which is responsible for specific mRNA codon recognition, and the 3' end, to which the tRNAs corresponding amino acid is attached (by aminoacyl-tRNA synthetases). tRNAs cope with the degeneracy of the genetic code in two manners: having more than one tRNA (with a specific anti-codon) for a particular amino acid; and 'wobble' base-pairing, i.e. permitting non-standard base-pairing at the 3rd anti-codon position. RNAcentral also lists the same sequence under 1 other name. Lineage: Bacteria; Bacillati; Bacillota; Clostridia; Eubacteriales; Clostridiaceae. The record is from RNAcentral.